GGGGCUGACCGGUUUUGACAGCGUGUAGAAAAGGUGGGUAAGCGUGCAGAGCCAUGAUAUCUAUGCUCUUUAAUAUCCGGUAUCGACCUUUCUAAAUGGCGAAAACAACUACGCUCUUGCUGCCUGAUUGAAGUACAGUAGAUCAGCUUAAUCGCCGCAACAGUUGCAGCGACAAGACAUCGCCCGAUUGUCCUUUUUCCGAGACGGAUCGAACAGGCGGUGCAGGUAAAUCGGAAAUAGGCGGCUUAACGCUCCUGACAGCCGCCGAAAUCUUCAGGAGUUAAGGUUGCGGUUGGUAGUUUCAGGCCUGCCACAACUCGAAAACCAACUUGAAACUACGCACGUAGAAAGCUCAUUGAUUCCGCGUUUGGACGAGGGUUCGAAUCCCUCCAGCUCCACAA
RNAcentral lists this transfer-messenger RNA (401 nucleotides) under Muribaculaceae. RNAcentral's name for it is "CAG-873 sp017621055 Standard tmRNA". It matches the Rfam family "transfer-messenger RNA". Rfam says of the family: Bacterial tmRNA, also known as 10Sa RNA or SsrA, is named for its dual tRNA and mRNA-like properties. The record is from RNAcentral. Lineage: Bacteria; Pseudomonadati; Bacteroidota; Bacteroidia; Bacteroidales. RNAcentral also lists the same sequence under 1 other name.